This 116-nucleotide ribosomal RNA is filed under the name Danio rerio (zebrafish). Lineage: Eukaryota; Metazoa; Chordata; Actinopteri; Cypriniformes; Danionidae. The record is from RNAcentral.
GCCGGCAGCUAGCUCUCUGCAACUCUCACAUGGCCGCCCACUGAAGCUAAGCAGGGCUGUGCCUGGUCAGUACCUGGUGGGGAGACCACAUGGGAAAAGCUAGGUUGCUGCUGGAA